Molecule: transfer RNA, 71 nt
Filed under: Thalassospira xiamenensis
Lineage: Bacteria; Pseudomonadati; Pseudomonadota; Alphaproteobacteria; Rhodospirillales; Thalassospiraceae
Description: tRNA_Cys_GCA
Rfam family: tRNA
About the family: Transfer RNA (tRNA) molecules are approximately 80 nucleotides in length.
Source: RNAcentral
GGCGCGAUGUCAGAGUGGUUAUGUAGUGGACUGCAAAUCUUCUUACCCGGGUUCGAUUCCCGGUCGUGCCU